UACGUAGGGGGCUAGCGUUGUCCGGAUUUAUUGGGCGUAAAGAGCGUGUAGGCGGCCAGGUAAGUCUGCUGUGAAAACUCGAGGCUCAACCUCGAGACGUCGGCGGAAACCAUCUGGCUAGAGUCCGGAAGAGGAGAGUGGAAUUCCCGGUGUAGCAGUGAAAUGCGUAGAUAUCGGGAGGAAUACCGAUGGCGAAGGCAGGUCUCUGGGCUGACACUGACGCUCAUGCACGAAGGCGUGGGGAGCAAACAGG
RNAcentral lists this ribosomal RNA (253 nucleotides) under uncultured bacterium. Its description in RNAcentral is "partial 16S ribosomal RNA". It matches the Rfam family "Bacterial small subunit ribosomal RNA", at positions 524 to 776 of the family's 1533-position model. The record is from RNAcentral.